This 366-nucleotide ribosomal RNA is filed under the name Triticum aestivum (bread wheat). RNAcentral describes it as "partial small subunit ribosomal RNA". The record is from RNAcentral. Lineage: Eukaryota; Viridiplantae; Streptophyta; Magnoliopsida; Poales; Poaceae.
AUGUCGUCGACGGCCACCGUCACCCGCGCCCACCUCGAGAACAAGCUCGCCCUCGCCAAACGCUGCUCCAGAGAGGCGACGCUCGCCGGAGCAAAGGCUGCAGCCGUCGCCACCGUCGCGUCUGCGGUCCCAACGCUGGCGAGCGUGAGGAUGCUGCCGUGGGCCAAGGCGAACCUGAACCCCACCGGCCAGGCCCUCAUUGUCUGCACCGUCGCCGGGAUGGCAUACUUCGUCGCCGCCGACAAGACCAUCCUCUCGCUGGCGAGGAGGCACUCGUACGAGAGCGCCCCCGACCACCUCAAGGACACCUCCUUCGCUGGCGCUGCCGCCGCUCGUCCCCGUCCACCGGCAUUCUUCAGGCCUUGA